GUAUCAAUAAGCGGAGGAAAAGAAACUAACAAGGAUUCCCCUAGUAACGGCGAGUGAAGCGGGAUGAGCUCAAAUUUAAAAUCUGGCUGGUUUACUAGUCCGAAUUGUAGUUUAAAGAAGUGUUUUCGGGGGUGAACUAGGUCUAAGUGCUCUGAAACGAGCUAUCAUAGAGGGUGACAAUCCCGUCCUUGGCCUUAGUCUUUACCCCUAUGUGAUACACUUUCAAAGAGUCGGGUUGUUUGGGAAUGCAGCCCAAAAUGGGUGGUAAAUACCAUCUAAAGCUAAAUAAAGGCGAGAGACCGAUAGCGCACAAGUA
This 316-nucleotide ribosomal RNA is filed under the name uncultured Mortierellaceae. RNAcentral's name for it is "partial large subunit ribosomal RNA". It matches the Rfam family "Eukaryotic large subunit ribosomal RNA", at positions 40 to 350 of the family's 3401-position model. The record is from RNAcentral. Lineage: Eukaryota; Fungi; Mortierellomycota; Mortierellomycetes; Mortierellales; Mortierellaceae.